AACACUGUUAACCUGCGGUACCUGCGGAGGGAUCAUUACAGAGUUGCAAAACUCCCUAAACCAUUGUGAACGUUACCUAAACCGUUGCUUCGGCGGGCGGCCCGGGUCCUUCCCGGCGCCCCUCGGCCCUCGCGGGCGCCCGCCGGAGGUAAACCAAACUAUUGCAUUGUAUGGCCUCUCUGAGUCUUCUGUACUGAAUAAGUCAAAACUUUUAGCAACGGAUCUCAGAUCGGAAGAGCA
This 240-nucleotide unclassified non-coding RNA is filed under the name soil metagenome. RNAcentral describes it as "partial contains 5.8S ribosomal RNA, internal transcribed spacer 2, and large subunit ribosomal RNA". The record is from RNAcentral.